This 480-nucleotide ribosomal RNA is filed under the name uncultured bacterium. RNAcentral describes it as "SSU rRNA". It matches the Rfam family "Bacterial small subunit ribosomal RNA", at positions 26 to 518 of the family's 1533-position model. The record is from RNAcentral.
AGGACGAACGCUGGCGGCGCGCUUAACACAUGCAAGUCGAGCGAGAACCUUUCCUUCGGGAUUGGGGACAGCGGCGAACGGGUGAGUAACACGUGGGUAAUCUGCCCUUGACAUCGGGAUAGCCCGGGGAAACCCGGAUUAAUACCGAAUAGCCUCCGGAGCCCUCGGGCGCCGGAGAAAAGGUAGCUUCGGCCUCUGGUCAAGGAUGAGCCCGCGGCGGAUUAGCUUGUUGGCGGGGUAAUGGCCCACCAAGGCGACGAUCCGUAGCUGGUCUGAGAGGACGAUCAGCCACACUGGGACUGAGACACGGCCCAGACUCCUACGGGAGGCAGCAGUGGGGAAUCUUGCGCAAAUGCGGGAAACCGUGACGCAGCGACGCCGCGUGGGGGAAGAGGCCCUAGGGUUGUAAAGCUCUUUUGUGCGGGAAGAUAAUGACGGUACCGCAAGAUAAGCCCCGGCUAACUUCGUGCCAGCAGCCGC